CCUACGGGGGGCAGCAGUGGGGAAUAUUGGACAAUGGGCGAAAGUCUGAUCCAGCCAUGCCGCGUGUGUGAAGAAGGCCUUCGGGUUGUAAAGCACUUUCAGUGGGGAAGAAAGCCUUGGGGCUAAUACCCUCGAGGAAGGACAUCACCCACAGAAGAAGCACCGGCUAACUCCGUGCCAGCAGCCGCGGUAAUACGGAGGGUGCGAGCGUUAAUCGGAAUUACUGGGCGUAAAGCGCGCGUAGGCGGUCUGAUAAGCCGGUUGUGAAAGCCCCGGGCUCAACCUGGGAACGGCAUCCGGAACUGUCAGGCUAGAGUGCAGGAGAGGAAGGUAGAAUUCCCGGUGUAGCGGUGAAAUGCGUAGAGAUCGGGAGGAAUACCAGUGGCGAAGGCGGCCUUCUGGACUGACACUGACGCUGAGGUGCGAAAGCGUGGGUAGCAAACAGGAUUAGAUACCCGGGUAGUC
Molecule: ribosomal RNA, 465 nt
Filed under: Vreelandella stevensii
Lineage: Bacteria; Pseudomonadati; Pseudomonadota; Gammaproteobacteria; Oceanospirillales; Halomonadaceae
Description: partial 16S ribosomal RNA
Rfam family: Bacterial small subunit ribosomal RNA
Source: RNAcentral